Molecule: long non-coding RNA, 542 nt
Filed under: Felis catus (domestic cat)
Lineage: Eukaryota; Metazoa; Chordata; Mammalia; Carnivora; Felidae
Description: lncRNA (ENSFCAG00000048437.1)
Source: RNAcentral
ACGAACGACUCUUCCCUGCUGCACCCAGGGCAAAAUCAAUUUACUCCUCUAAGUCACUUUCACUCGGCUGUUUUUAUUACCGUUUCCACAGCAUCUCAUCCUGCUAGAACAAAAUGCAAUCAAAAUAUGGAUUUAAUUUGACAAGGGGAAAGGGCCACGAACAACUGUAAAUUGUCAGUACUGUGGCAUACGACAGCCCUGAUCUCUGCAAGAACAAAGAUGAGUCAAGCGGCUUUUGCAGAUUGAAGCGAGCUGUCAUAGGGCUCCAAAGACGAAGCUUAGAGGUGACAUUGAAACUGUUGCACCAGUCAAAAAGAUUCAAAGGUCAGCUCUAAGCUGGCAGGACGCUGGAGGGCCAGUGUGGAGCUGAGCAGAGUGCUUCCCGGAAGAGAGCAGUCUUUGGAAUGGAGGUUGGGGAGUGAAGUGCUAUGGAGGCAGAAACACCAGGGCUAAGGUACCAAAGGGGAAUGCAAGGUUGCUUCCUAACGUGAAUCACUUUGCCAUUAAAGCUCUGUGCUCUGGCUGCAGGGACUGAUGUAAAU